RNAcentral lists this ribosomal RNA (917 nucleotides) under uncultured Bacillota bacterium. RNAcentral's name for it is "bacterial SSU rRNA". It matches the Rfam family "Bacterial small subunit ribosomal RNA", at positions 1 to 917 of the family's 1533-position model. Lineage: Bacteria; Bacillati; Bacillota. The record is from RNAcentral.
UGGAUCCAGCUUUGAUUAUGGCUCAGGACGAACGCUGGCGGCGUGCUUAACACAUGCAAGUCGAACGAAGCUUGAUUUAUGAUUUCUUCGGAAUGAAUAAUGAUAUGACUGAGUGGCGGACGGGUGAGUAACGCGUGAGCAACCUGCCCUUCGGAGGGGGAUAGCGUCUGGAAACGGACGGUAAUACCGCAUAAAGUGUCUUGACCGCAUGAUCGAGAUACCAAAACUGAGGUGCCGAAGGAUGGGCUCGCGUUGGAUUAGAUAGUUGGUGGGGUAACGGCCUACCAAGUCGACGAUCCAUAGCCGGACUGAGAGGUUGAACGGCCACAUUGGGACUGAGACGCGGCCCAGACUCCUACGGGAGGCAGCAGUGGGGAAUAUUGCACAAUGGGGGAAACCCUGAUGCAGCAACGCCGCGUGAAGGAAGACGGUUUUCGGAUUGUAAACUUCUGUUCUUAGUGAAGAAUAAUGACGGUAGCUAAGGAGCAAGCCACGGCUAACUACGUGCCAGCAGCCGCGGUAAUACGUAGGUGGCAAGCGUUGUCCGGAAUUACUGGGUGUAAAGGGAGCGCAGGCGGGAAGCCAAGUCAGCUGUGAAAACUACAGGCUUAACUUGUAGACUGCAGUUGAAACUGGUUUUCUUGAGUGAAGUAGAGGUUGGCGGAAUUCCGAGUGUAGCGGUGAAAUGCGUAGAUAUUCGGAGGAACACCGGUGGCGAAGGCGGCCAACUGGGCUUUAACUGACGCUGAGGCUCGAAAGUGUGGGGAGCAAACAGGAUUAGAUACCCUGGUAGUCCACACUGUAAACGAUGAUUGCUAGGUGUGGGGGGUCUGACCCCUUCCGUGCCGCAGCUAACGCAAUAAGCAAUCCACCUGGGGAGUACGACCGCAAGGUUGCAACUCAAAUGAAUUGACGGA